RNAcentral lists this long non-coding RNA (1104 nucleotides) under Brassica napus (rape). Its description in RNAcentral is "long non-coding RNA (BNAP_LNC005753)". Lineage: Eukaryota; Viridiplantae; Streptophyta; Magnoliopsida; Brassicales; Brassicaceae. The record is from RNAcentral.
UUGCGCUUUAUGGCCUUGAUACUGAAUGGACUGUUCUUGUUCUGCAAAUGAAAUAUUCAAAAAAUUACCAUUAAUAUGUUGUUUCCCUAAGAAGUGGGAGAAGCAAAACUUACCAUUAAACAAGUUCCCUGAUCAAGGUCACAAACGGGGUACUCGUGAGGGCAGCAACUAUAGUUGUCAUCACAACAUGUGGCUGCUUCUAGUGGGCAACAUCCCCAAGCAAGUGGUAUAAGCAUUGGUCUGAGAGUGGUAAACAUUAAUUACAAUGAGUGCUAUCAUCAAUUCAUCAUAGUGGAAACUGCUGGAGGAUUAUUUCGAUCGCCAUCCAUUUCUCAACAAAUUUAUAGGAUCAGGAGUGUAAAUAUUGAGAAGAAAAUUUGAGGAUAUAUAGCAAGUUAAAACAAAUGGGAUUUAUAAGAUGCGCUCCAUCCUUAUGUAUCCGCUCUCUCCCCAACUUGUUCCCCAUGAGUUUUUCACAAUCCAAUAGUCUUUGCCAUUCUCUGUUCCGUAUCCGACCGCCACAACUCCAUGGUCUAGAUCUGUUCCACAAAUUCCAUCGAAUAUACCCUUUGGAAAGAAAAACGCAUACAAACAGUUUAGUCAAAUCAUCAAACUCCUAAGAACUAAGAGAAAAUGAUUAAAAUACAUACCGAAUCAUAGAGCUGGAACGCACGACCACCACCCUCAAUGGCGACGCUGAUUGGUUGGUGAGAAAGUGCUUUCUUUAAUGAUUCUUCGCUGUUAGCCGGCACAUCCUCAUAUGAAUCGAUUGUAACAACUUUAGCGUUUUUCUGCAGCAAUAAACCAACAAAGGUGAAACAAAAAUCAUCCACAGGUUGUUUAGAAUUAUUAUUAAAUCACAACAUGUGGCUGCUUCUAGUGGGCAACAUCCCCAAGCAAGACAAUACUUUCCAUAAUCAAAACCAACAAAGGUGAAACAAAAAUCAUCCACAGGUUGUUUAGAAUUAUUAUUAAAGAACAAAACACUAACUCUGGUCUGGUCACAACGUCCGUCAACACCCUUGUAAGGAUAAUCUUCCUCUGUAUCGAUUCCGCCGUUUUUUAUAAUGAACUCAAAAGCAUAGUCCAUGAGACCUCCGUUAC